Molecule: long non-coding RNA, 5238 nt
Filed under: Populus trichocarpa (black cottonwood)
Lineage: Eukaryota; Viridiplantae; Streptophyta; Magnoliopsida; Malpighiales; Salicaceae
Description: long non-coding RNA (PTRI_LNC004658)
Source: RNAcentral
UGAAAGAAAUGUUGAGGGUUGCAGAGGCUGAAAACCAAAGAAAAAAGGAAGAAACAGAGAACAAAGACGUUUUGGGUGCUAACUUUCCAAUGCAGUUUUAUUAUUCUGAUUGUCUCAUUAACCUUACAAUGAAGAAACAGAAGGAAUAUAUAUACACGUAUCAAGGCUGAUGAGUCAGCCUUUCCCAUGCAAAAGGAAAUUAUUCCCACACCAGCAGCAUGGUUAACUAAGUUGUUAUAAAGGAAAAGAAUGCAUAACUGACUGUAGCUGAAAAACAGGGAAAACUAAUCAUCCUUUUUCUUUUAACAACUUUGCAUCCUCGUCCUUAUUCUUUAACAUCCCCCCGCAAGAUGGAGCAUAGUAGUUGACAAUGCCCAUCUUGGACAUAUGAAAAGAUAAUAGAUAGGCAGGUAAUGCUUUUGUGAAAACAUCUGCUAGUUGACACUUUGUAGAAACAUAUGCAGUCGAUAAGACACCUGCUUGGAUUUUGUCACGAAUAAGGUGACAAUCUAACUCAAUAUGCUUGGUUCUUUCGUGGAAAACAGGAUUCGAAGCAAUGUGUAAUGCAGCUUUGUUGUCACAGUAUAACACAGCGGGAUGAGGAUGAUUUAUGCGAAGAUCUGUUAGAAGAAAACUCAACCAAGUAAUUUCUGAGCUAGUGAUGGCCAUGGCACGAUACUCAGCUUCUGCUGAUGAACGGGAGACCACUGAUUGCUUCUUUGAUUUCCAAGAGAUUAAGGAUGAACCAAGGAAUAUGCAGAAACCAGAAACAGAACGUCUGGUGUCAGGAUAGGAUGCCCAGUCUGAAUCACAAUAUGCCGUGAUGUCCAGGUUAUGCUCAGAAGAAAAGAAAAGACCCUGCCCUGGAGCUCCUUUGAUGUAUUUCAGGAUCUUGAAAGCUGCAGCUAAGUGAAAAUCAGUGGGAUGAUCCAUGAAUUGACUGAGAGUUUGGACACUAUAAGAAAUGUCUGGCCUUGUUAUGGUCAAGUAUAAAAGUUUUCCAACAAGCUGCCUGUAGUAAGUAGAAUCAGAUAGAGGGGUGCCCUCCUCUUUACUGAGCUUUAAGUUUUGAUCCAUAGGGAGCUUAGAAGGUCGAGACCCGAGAACGCCAAAGGUAGCUAGAAUAUCUAAAGCAUAUUUCCUCUGACAAAUCUGUAUUCCUUGUGAUGUUCUGGCAAUUUCAAGUCCUAGAAAAUACCUCAAUUGUCCCAAAUCUUUGAUUUUGAAUUGAUGGUUAAGAAAUACUUUAAUAUCUUUGACAACAGCAGGAGAGUCACUAGCUACGAUAAUAUCAUCAACAUAGACGAGUAGUGCUGUGAACGAUUGAUUGUCUUGCUUGAUGAACAAACUAUAAUCUGCUUUGGACUGAUAAAAACCGAACUGAAGUAAAGAGGUAGAGAAUUUAGAGUACCAUUGUCGUGAGGCCUGUUUUAACCCGUAAAGACUCUUAAGUAGUCUGCAAACUUGAUGAGAUUGACCUUGGGUGUAUCCAGGAGGACGUUUCAUGUAUAUUUCUUCCUGUAAGUCUCCAUGAAGAAAAGCGUUGUUGACAUCAAACUGAUACAGGCCCCAACCUUUCACAGCAGCUAUGGCCAAGAGACAACGCACUGUAACAAGCUUAGCAACAGGAGAGAAAGUUUCGUGAUAGUCAAUACCUUCUUCUUGGGUGUAACCCUUGGCCACCAACCUUGCCUUAUAUCUUUCAAUGCUGCCAUCAGAAUUGUACUUUAUCUUAUAGACAUAUUUGCAGGCAAUAGGUCUCUUUCCAGCAGGCAGAUCAGUCAUGAUCCAGGUCUGGUUAGCCUCCAAAGCUUUCAAUUCAUCCUCCAUGGCCAUGCGCCAAUGGGGGUCAGUAACAGCUUGAGCAUAUGUUUGUGGUUCGGUGUGAGAAGAAAUGGAAGCAGAGAAAACUUGAAAGGGUAAGGAGAAUUUAUUGUAUGAAAGGUAGUUACUCAAAUGAACUGCGUUACCUGAAGGAGCCUCAGCUGUUGUGUCUUGGAUUGAAUUGGAUGAAUUGAAGGAAGCCAGUUGACAAUGAAAAUCCUGUAAGUAUUUGGGAGCCUGUUUCAUCCUGGCAGAUUUGCGAACAUGAAGAGGAGGGGUAGGAGUUUGUGAUAUGUGAGGUGAAGAAGAAACAAAGUCUGAAGGUUGUGAGUCAGGCUGAAUAUAUAUGUCUUGAGUGUCAGGAGAAAUAUUCACAUCUGAAGAUAAGUUGGUGGAAGUGGUAGGUGAAAGAGGAGUGUCAGGUAUGUGAUUUUGUAAAGGUUCUAUAGUGGAAGAAGAGCGAGUAUCAGAUGGUUGAGGCUGGGUCAGAGGAAGUAGUGUAUGAGAAGGAAGAGGUUCUGGUACAGGCAGUUUAAAAGGGAAAAUUUGUUCGUGGAAUAUCACAUCUCUAGAUAAAAGGAUUUCAUGUGUUUCUAAAUCUACCAACUUAUAGCCUUUUACUCCAAAAGGAUAACCAAGAAAGGCGCAUUUUCUUGCUCGAGAAUCAAAUUUCUUUCUGCCCUGACCUAUGGUAGUUGCAAAACAAAGGCAUCCAAAGACUCGCAGGUGAUGAUAUGUGGGAUCAGUGUGAAAAAUGGCUUCAUAAGGUGUUCUGUUGUGUAAUAUAGGGGUAGGAAUGCGGUUGAUAAUAUAGGUGGCAGUGAGGACACAAUCAUUCCAGAACUCAAGAGGUAGACUAGCUUGGAAUCUAAGAGCUCUAGCAACAUUUAAGAUAUGUUGAUGUUUUCUCUCAACUAUUCCAUUCUGUUGGGGGGUUUCUACACAGGUUCUUUGAUGAAUGAUGCCAUUUUUAUGGAAGAAGUCUUGCAUGUGAAAUUCGGCUCCAUUAUCACUUCUUAGAUACUUAAUCUUAGCUCCAAAUUGAGUGUGAAUAAGGUUGCAAAAUGAUUCUAUGAAUUUCCGUGUGUCUGAUUUAUAUCUAAGCAAAUAUACCCAGGUGCUACGAGACAAGUCAUCAACAAUGGUCAAGAAGUAUCUACUCCCAUCAUAAGCUGCAACAGAACAUGGCCCCCAUAGAUCACAGUGUAUAAGUUCAAAAUUGAAAGAAGAUUUGUGUAGGCUUUGAUUAAAAGGGAGUCUAUGCUGCCUUGCCAAAGGACAAAUUGAACAAGGAACUUCAUUAAUAGUAGAACGUGUGGUUUGGAUUACAACAGGAUCUCUAAUCAAUUGUAAUCUGGAAUUGGAAAUAUGGCCUAGGCGAUGAUGCCAUAAGUCAAAAAGGUGAUUGGUAUUUGUGGCACAAACAGAAUGCAAACUAUGAAUGUUAAAAGACUUGGAUAGUGUACACAUCAAGGCAUCUGGAGAUACUUCAACAUGCUUAAGAUGGUAGAGACCAUUCUUCAUUUCACCCAAUCCAAUCGUUGUCCACGACAUGAGGUCCUGCAGGAAACAAGCAGUGGAUAGGAAAACAAAGCAACAAGAGACAUUUCUGGUUAAUGUAGGAGCAGAAAGAAGGUUGAAAGUAAAUGAAGGAACACACAAAACAUUCUCAAGAGUAAUUAAUGUGGAGAGUUUGACAGUGCCUAUGUGUGUGACUGGAACCUCUUGACCAUUUGGAAGUUUAACAUUAUAAGACACAGUGGCUGUUACUGUUGUGAAAAAAACGGUGUUGCAGAUCAUAUGAUCUGUAGCUCCUGUGUCUAUGAUCCAAGGGACAUUAUUAAUAUCAAAAGAUUUAUGAGAGUAAGUAGAGAGGCAAGUUGUGAUACCAGACAUUGAUGGUAGACUCGUGAAGUUAGCCAUUGGAGGAUGAGUGUCUGCUGGAUUUUGUUUCUCAUGAAGCAACUGUAAGAUUUUCUGAUACUGAUUUGAAAUUAAGUUCAUCUUGUCAACUUGAUUCUUGGGAAAAUCUUCACCUACAAUGACGUUGGAUUGUCUAGCAUGUAUAUUUGGUCGUCUUCCCUUGUUAUGCAAUUUAUGGCCAGGAGGAUACCCCACUAACUUGUAACAUUUCUCUGCCAGAUGGCCACUCAUGUGACAGUGGCUGCAAGUAGGUGGUGUGGCAUUUCCUGCUUUAAAACAAUCUUCUAAGAGAUGCCCUUGAAUCUUGCAGUGUGGACAGUAGGGUCUGUUAAAUGACCUGAAGGUUGUGGAUGUGUUUUUGGCAAAAAAAGCCAUUGAUUCAGGAGUGGAUGCAUGAGAUAACAUCUGGUGUUGUUUCUCCUGCUGCUGAAUAAGAGAAAAUACUUUACUGACUUGUGGUAUGGGAUCCAUUAGCAUGAUCUGAUCCCUUACAUUGGAAUAUGUUUCAUUUAGACCCAUGAGAAACUGAAUUACACAAUCUUGUUGGUAUCGAUCAAUCAACAUCUUCAUCUGUCCACAAGAACACUCUGGCAAGGGACAAUGUAAGGUUAACUCAUCCCAAAUUGUUUUCAGCUUUCCAUAAUAAACACUGACUAAAUCAUUUCCCUGAGUUAAGUUGGCUAGAGCCCCUUUUAGUUGAAAUAUUCGUGGACCAUUUUGCUGGGUAAGUCUCUCACAAAGCUCAUUCCAAAUAUCAUAGGCAUUGUCAACAAGGAUGAAAGAAGACUUUACUGAAGAACUUACAGAGUUGUGAAUCCAUGAAACAAUCAUGUCGUUGCAUCUUUCCCAUGCUUCUAGAAGAGGAUCGUUGGGAUCUGAAGGUUUUGUGAUAUUGCCAUCAACAAAACCAAGUUUGUUCUUGGCUCUAAGGGCCCUCUUCAUGGCUCUUGCCCAAGUAACAUAGUUUUCUGUUGUUAAGAGAUCAGUCACCAAACCAAGAACUGACGUGUCACCAUGAUCAAGUCGGUAUGGAUUGUUUGGGUCAGAGAGGUUAUGGAAACGUGAGGUUGAUUUUGCAGUAAAUGGUGAUGUUUGUUGAUUUUCAGCAUCUUUUUCCAUUUUUAGUUAAAUGACCGAAGCUCUGAUACCAUGAAAGAAAUGUUGAGGGUUGCAGAGGCUGAAAACCAAAGAAAAAAGGAAGAAACAGAGAACAAAGACGUUUUGGGUGCUAACUUUCCAAUGCAGUUUUAUUAUUCUGAUUGUCUCAUUAACCUUACAAUGAAGAAACAGAAGGAAUAUAUAUACACGUAUCAAGGCUGAUGAGUCAGCCUUUCCCAUGCAAAAGGAAAUUAUUCCCACACCAGCAGCAUGGUUAACUAAGUUGUUAUAAAGGAAAAGAAUGCAUAACUGACUGUAGCUGAAAAACAGGGAAAACUAAUCAUCCUUUUUCUUUUAACAACUUUGCAUCCUCGUCCUUAUUCUUUAACAUAU